This 253-nucleotide ribosomal RNA is filed under the name uncultured bacterium. Its description in RNAcentral is "partial 16S ribosomal RNA". It matches the Rfam family "Bacterial small subunit ribosomal RNA", at positions 524 to 776 of the family's 1533-position model. The record is from RNAcentral.
UACGAAGGGGGCUAGCGUUGUUCGGAAUCACUGGGCGUAAAGCGCGUGUAGGCGGCUUGUUAAGUCGGGGGUGAAAUCCCGAGGCUCAACCUCGGAACUGCCUUCGAUACUGGCGAGCUUGAGUCCGGGAGAGGUGAGUGGAACUCCGAGUGUAGAGGUGAAAUGCGUAGAUAUUCGGAAGAACACCAGUGGCGAAGGCGGCACACUGGCCCGGUACUGACGCUGAUAUGCGAAAGCGUGGGGAGCAAACAGG